Rattus norvegicus (Norway rat) is the source of this 1414-nucleotide non-coding RNA. The record is from RefSeq and is a predicted model, not a curated record. Lineage: Eukaryota; Metazoa; Chordata; Mammalia; Rodentia; Muridae.
GCUGGUGGUGCGGAGGGGAAGCCUCAGUAAAAAGUGAGAGAUACAUAGGAUUUUCAGAGACACCGGAACAUUGGAAACAACUGUAGGAGGGAGAGGGAACGGUCUGGGACCAGGCCACUGAUUUCUUUGCAGAAUUGUGUGAUCUGUUGGAGGGCUUCGGAGCAGAGGCUCAUCACCAUCACUGAAGGGCUGGGGAGGUUGUUUAGUGGUAGAACACUUGCUUAGCAUGUGAAAGUCCCUCAACUUCUCUCUCUCUCUCUGUCUCUCUGUCUCUCUGUCUCUCUGUCUCUCUGUCUCUCUGUCUGUCUCUCUGUCUUUCUGCCUCUCUCUCUCUCUCUCUCUCUCUCUCUCUCUCUCACACACACACACACACACACACACACACACACACACACACACACACACGGAGCAUCACAACAGAACGAAGUUAACAAGAGCCAGAGGGUGGAGAGUAGUCUAGGUGAGGAAUUGCCCGUGCAGAGCUUGCUCAAGUCUGGCACAGCCCAGUGGAAUAUCUCUGCUAGCCUAGUGAUCCUCACAAGGCAUACAUGGCAUGAGAGGGCCUGGUAGAAGGGCGAAGGUUCCAGAAGGCCUGGCAGAUAGACUGUCAUGCCACAAGCAGACUCAGCCUUCCAAACACUGGCUAUGCAACCCUUGAAAGGCCAGCAGCUUUCAGAGGGAAAGGGUGCCUCAGGCAGUGGGAUGGCCUUUGCUGCCUUCUACAAGGACCUGCGGGUGUCCUGGCAGAGGGAGGAGGUGGCAGAGGCACCAGGUGUUAGGGUACCAGGGCCUCCUGAGAAGAACAGGUGUGAAGCAGAACAAUUAGCCCAGAGGCCGCAGCGGGGGCAGAUGACAUCACCUGCUGGUGAGCAGGCUUCAUUAAGUCUCCAGCACAUGCAGGACCUCGAAGAAACUUGCUUCUUCAAGGAGUCAGAGGACACGGUCACCUCCCCCACGGAGAAGAUCCUCUGUCUUCAUCAUCCCAAAUUGUUGCCCCAGUGUUUCUGCUUAGACAUAUUCAACCUCCCUCAGGCACCUUCUGAGAAACUAUAUCAUGAUGAGAAGGCUUUCUGACUUUAUCAGCUGCCAGCAGAAGGUGCUCCGACAUCGAGGGUGGCUUUCCCUGCUUCAGAUGACUGGUCAGACACACCUUGACAGGGACCGGAGAGAUGGCUGGGCAGCGAAGAGUACAAACCACACGUGCAAGGACUUGAGUUCUGUUCCCAGUGCUCACAUCUGAUGGCUCACAACCACCUAUAACUCUAGCUCCAGGGGAACCCAAGGCAUUUGGUCUCCCGAAGGCCUCUACACUGGUGGGCAAAAGCCCACAUUCGCAUUCAUAUAUACAUCAUUUAAAACACAGUAAAUCUUUAUUUUUAAAUGAAAAAUAAAAAUCACACCGCAGGAAUGCCAA